Gadus morhua (Atlantic cod) is the source of this 930-nucleotide long non-coding RNA. The record is from Ensembl. Lineage: Eukaryota; Metazoa; Chordata; Actinopteri; Gadiformes; Gadidae.
CACUGUUGGACUUUGAGUGAGUGUUAUCUUAUGUCAUCUUAGAUGGACAUGGACAUAGGAGAGGUGGAGGACAGGGCCGUGCAGGUUGAGGAGGAGGAGGGGGGUGUGGAGGAGGUGGCCCUGCAGGUGGAGGAGUUGGCCCUGCAGGUGGAGGAGGUGGCCCUGCAGGUGGAGGAGGUUGCCCUGCAGGUGGCGGAGGUGGCCCUGCAGGUGGAGGAGGUGGAGGAGGGGGGCCCGCAGGUGGAUGAGGUGGCCCACCCGGACACGGAAGGACCAGCGGUCUCUACUGUGCAGAGGAAGAGGAGGAGCAAAGAGCUUCACAGCCAGAAGAAGGGGCUUGCAACACGGAAUAAAACUUUACCGAAGAAUUGCCCCUACCAUAUUGGUCGAGAUGCCUUUGAAAUAAGGAGUUACGUGAAGGAGAGGAUUAGAAAGGGCAUUAAAGAAGUCCUCGUCGAUUGGCAGCCUUGCCCAGUUUGAUGAGUACCCCCGGCCAGCCAUUCGGACUGGGUGUCAGGCUAGGGAAUUUAAAAACAGGCAUCCUUGGUUAGAGUGGAGGGAAAUAAAGUUAGGUAAAUGUCAGCCAACAUUUUUAAGGUGCAGUCAUUUCACACUUUUACACAAUUCAAUUACUGUAUGGUAUGUUAGAUAACAACAGUAAGAGCUAAAAUUAGAGCAAUUGAAAGAGUGAAACAUUAGACUCCUGUCAUCUCCUUCUCAUGCACUUGUUAGCCAUGGUUGUAAACAGUUCAUUAAAUUAUUUUGAGUAUUUUGUCCUUGUUUAGCAUGUGCUAUUGCUACUAUAGAUAUACAAAGGACAACUUGUCAUUUUUGUGUUCUAUUUGUUCAUAAUGUUAUUAAAACUGAUAAACCUAUUCAGCUUUCCAUGAUUGUUGAUAAUCGUUAUACUCUUAAAUCAGCGGGUUGUAG